This is a long non-coding RNA of Hordeum vulgare subsp. vulgare (domesticated barley), 333 nucleotides long. RefSeq lists it as uncharacterized. The record is from RefSeq and is a predicted model, not a curated record. NCBI's taxonomy places the organism in Eukaryota, Viridiplantae, Streptophyta, Magnoliopsida, Poales, Poaceae. The transcript has 2 exons.
UGGUGCGACGGCUGCAAUGGAAAUACUGAGCUUUUGUAUUGCUGAUCUAGGAAAUGCAUUUCUUGUUCCGUCACCAUACUACCCUGGGGGAAGUUCAAAAGGACCGCGCGCUGGAGCUCCUAAACGUGCGCCCCUUCUACUUCGUUUACUUAUGUGGCGUGAAGACAUAAAUCAAACCUUUGGAGCCAUAGUUGUCUUUUUUGUCAUCUAAAAUAAUAAUGGUAACAUAUUAAUACAAACAAAAUAAUAUUCUAGCUCAAAAAAUUGUAUGUGAACAAUGAAUGGAUGCUAUGGAACUAUAUUUGUUAUGGAGCUAUGUAUGUAUGGAUGCUA